GGCAACAUAUGGCUCAAUUGGAAGCUGUUCAGCUUUGCACUGAACAGAUUGUGGGUUCAAGUCCCACUGAUGACA
Molecule: non-coding RNA, 75 nt
Organism: Tribonema minus
Lineage: Eukaryota; Xanthophyceae; Tribonematales; Tribonemataceae
Source: the annotation of a GenBank genome assembly